AGACCCGAAACCCGGUGAUCUAGCCAUGGGCAGGUUGAAGGUUGGGUAACACUAACUGGAGGACCGAACCGACUAAUGUUGAAAAAUUAGCGGAUGACCUGUGGCUGGGGGUGAAAGGCCAAUCAAACCGGGAGAUAGCUGGUUCUCCCCGAAAGCUAUUUAGGUAGCGCCUCGUGAAUUCAUCUCCGGGGGUAGAGCACUGUUUCGGCUAGGGGGCCAUCCCGGCUUACCAACCCGAUGCAAACUGCGAAUACCGGAGAAUGUUAUCACGGGAGACACACGGCGGGUGCUAACGUCCGUCGUGAAGAGGGAAACAACCCAGACCGCCAGCUAAGGUCCCAAAGUCAUGGUUAAGUGGGAAACGAUGUGGGAAGGCCCAGACAGCCAGGAUGUUGGCUUAGAAGCAGCCAUCAUUUAAAGAAAGCGUAAUAGCUCACUGGUCGAGUCGGCCUGCGCGGAAGAUGUAACGGGGCUAAACCAUGCACCGAAGCUGCGGCAGCGACGCUGAUGCGUUGUUGGGUAGGGGAGCGUUCUGUAAGCCUGCGAAGGUGGCCUGUGAGGGUUGCUGGAGGUAUCAGAAGUGCGAAUGCUGACAUAAGUAACGAUAAAGCGGGUGAAAAGCCCGCUCGCCGGAAGACCAAGGGUUCCUGUCCAACGUUAAUCGGGGCAGGGUGAGUCGACCCCUAAGGCGAGGCCGAAAGGCGUAGUCGAUGGGAAACGGGUUAAUAUUCCCGUACUUGGUGUUACUGCGAAGGGGGGACGGAGAAGGCUAUGUUGGCCGGGCGACGGUUGUCCCGGUUUAAGCGUGUAGGUGUGUGUUCCAGGUAAAUCCGGUUCACUUUAACACUGAGGCGUGACGACGAGGCACUACGGUGCUGAAGCAACAAAUGCCCUGCUUCCAGGAAAAGCCUCUAAGCAUCAGGUAACACGAAAUCGUACCCCAAACCGACACAGGUGGUCAGGUAGAGAAUA
This 972-nucleotide ribosomal RNA is filed under the name Salmonella enterica. RNAcentral's name for it is "partial 23S ribosomal RNA". It matches the Rfam family "Bacterial large subunit ribosomal RNA", at positions 711 to 1680 of the family's 2925-position model. Lineage: Bacteria; Pseudomonadati; Pseudomonadota; Gammaproteobacteria; Enterobacterales; Enterobacteriaceae. The record is from RNAcentral.